RNAcentral lists this transfer RNA (72 nucleotides) under Candidatus Anderseniibacteriota bacterium. RNAcentral describes it as "tRNA-Thr". It matches the Rfam family "tRNA". Rfam says of the family: Transfer RNA (tRNA) molecules are approximately 80 nucleotides in length. Their secondary structure includes four short double-helical elements and three loops (D, anti-codon, and T loops). The record is from RNAcentral. Lineage: Bacteria; Candidatus Anderseniibacteriota.
GCCACCUUAGCUCAGCGGUAGAGCAGCGCAUUCGUAACGCGCAGGCCGUGAGUUCGAAUCUCACAGGUGGCU